This 495-nucleotide ribosomal RNA is filed under the name uncultured bacterium. RNAcentral describes it as "bacterial SSU rRNA". It matches the Rfam family "Bacterial small subunit ribosomal RNA", at positions 8 to 518 of the family's 1533-position model. The record is from RNAcentral.
AGAGUUGAUCCUGGCUCAGGAUGAACGCUGGCGGCGUGCCUAACACAUGCAAGUCGAGCGGAGAUAAGUGAAGCCUAGCGAUCUAUCUAGCAGCGGAUGGGUGAGUAACACGUGGGUAACCUGCCCUACACUGGGGAAUAACAGCUGGAAACGGCUGUUAAUGCCGCAUAUGCGCACGGAGCCGCAUGGCUUUGGGCGGAAAGAUUUAUCGGUGCAGGAUGGGCCCGCGCCGGAUUAACUAGUUGGCGGGGUAACGGCCCACCAAGGUGAUGAUCCGUAGCCGACCUGAGAGGGUGACCGGCCACAUUGGGACUGAGACACGGCCCAAACUCCUACGGGAGGCAGCAGUGGGGGAUAUUGCACAAUGGGGGAAACCCUGAAUGCAGCGACGCCGCGUGAAGGAUGAAGUAUUUCGGUAUGUAAACUUCUAUCAGCGGGGAAGAAGAUGACGGUACCCGACUAAGAAGCCCCGGCUAACUACGUGCCAGCCGCCGC